UACAGAGACUGCAAGCGUUAUUCGGAUUCACUGGGCGUAAAGGGUGCGCAGGCGGCCGUGUGUGUUAGAUGUGAAAUCCCGGGGCUCAACCCCGGAACUGCGUCUAAAACUACAUGGCUAGAGUAUUGGAGGGGGGACUGGAAUUCUCGGUGUAGCAGUGAAAUGCGUAGAUAUCGAGAGGAACACCAGUGGCGAAGGCGAGUCCCUGGACAACACCUGACACUGAGGCACGAAAGCUAGGGGAGCAAACAGG
This 253-nucleotide ribosomal RNA is filed under the name uncultured prokaryote. RNAcentral's name for it is "partial 16S ribosomal RNA". It matches the Rfam family "Bacterial small subunit ribosomal RNA", at positions 524 to 776 of the family's 1533-position model. The record is from RNAcentral.